UACGUAGGUGACCAGCGUUGUCCGGAUUUACUGGGCGUAAAGAGCGCGCAGGCGGUCGUUCAAGUCGAGUGUGAAAGCCCCCGGCUCAACUGGGGAGGGUCACUCGAUACUGAUCGACUUGAAGGCAGGAGAGGGAAGCGGAAUUCCCGGUGUAGUGGUGAAAUGCGUAGAUAUCAGGAGGAACACCGAUGGCGAAGGCAGGUCUCUGGGCCAUAACUGACGCUGAGAAGCGAAAGCAUGGGGAGCGAACAGG
Molecule: ribosomal RNA, 253 nt
Filed under: uncultured bacterium
Lineage: Bacteria
Description: partial 16S ribosomal RNA
Rfam family: Bacterial small subunit ribosomal RNA
Source: RNAcentral